AAAGGCUGUCGCCGACUUGAAAGGGUCGUGCACGCCCAAAAGGUUUCCUCUCACGUGAAAUCCAUCUCACCCUUUUGUGCAUCACCGCGUGGGCUUCCCUCCUCGAGGGGGGCUCGCGUUUUUCACACAAACCCCCCAUUGUAAAUGUUUGUAGAAUGUCCUUAUUUUUUUUGCGUUGAACGCGAUCAAUACAACUUUCAACAACGGAUUCUUGGCUCUCGCAUCGAUGAAGAACGCAGCGAAAUGCGAUACGUAAUGUGAAUUGCAGAAUUCAGUGAAUCAUCGAAUCUUUGAACGCACCUUGCGCCCCUUGUAUUCCGAGGGGCACACCCGUUUGAGUGUCGUGAAAAUCUCAACCUCCUCGGUUUCUUUUAGAUGCUGAAGGAGGCUUGGACUUUGGAGGGCUUUGCUGGACUUGAAAGGCCAGCUCCUCUCAAAUGAAUUAGCGAGGUUCCCUUUGCCGAUCCUCGACGUGUGAUAAGAUGCUUCCACGUCUUGGUCUUUGGCUCUGUCGCU
RNAcentral lists this ribosomal RNA (516 nucleotides) under uncultured Lactarius. RNAcentral's name for it is "eukaryotic LSU rRNA". The stretch from base 193 to 344 matches the Rfam family "5.8S ribosomal RNA". Lineage: Eukaryota; Fungi; Basidiomycota; Agaricomycetes; Russulales; Russulaceae. The record is from RNAcentral.